Molecule: transfer RNA, 67 nt
Filed under: Pethia ticto (Ticto barb)
Lineage: Eukaryota; Metazoa; Chordata; Actinopteri; Cypriniformes; Cyprinidae
Also listed under: 3 other names
Description: tRNA-Cys
Rfam family: tRNA
About the family: Transfer RNA (tRNA) molecules are approximately 80 nucleotides in length.
Source: RNAcentral
AGCUUCGUGGUGUAGAACAUAUUGGAUUGCAAAUCCGAAGUCGCAGAUUAAUACUUUGCCGGGGCUU